This 253-nucleotide ribosomal RNA is filed under the name uncultured bacterium. RNAcentral's name for it is "partial 16S ribosomal RNA". It matches the Rfam family "Bacterial small subunit ribosomal RNA", at positions 524 to 776 of the family's 1533-position model. The record is from RNAcentral.
UACAGAGGGUGCAAGCGUUGUUCGGAAUUAUUGGGCGUAAAGCGCGUGUAGGCGGCUUUGCAAGUCGGGUGUGAAAGCCCCCAGCUUAACUGGGGAAGUGCGCUCGAAACUGCAGAGCUUGAGUACCGGAGAGGAUGGCGGAAUUCCCCAAGUAGAGGUGAAAUUCGUAGAUAUGGGGAGGAACACCGGUGGCGAAGGCGGCCAUCUGGACGGAUACUGACGCUGAGACGCGAAAGCGUGGGUAGCAAACAGG